UGAAUCAUCUGAGGCUUCAACAGCUUGGUAGAAACAAUGCUAGCUGGCAAUGGAAUAAUGAGGGGCUUUAAUAUGAUCUAAUGUAACAGCACCUGCGAUCCAACACAAAUAAAAGGGACCCAAAAGGUGAAAGUAGAACAGAAUAAAGCAUUAUCCUAGUCCCAUAUUUAGUAUUUUAUUCAGCAUUUGCUGUUUUAUUAACAGCUUAUUAUUUUGCUAUGUGCACAAUAGCCUGUCAGAUUGAAGUCAAUUAAAACUCAUCAGGAAACUAAUGUGUUAAAUCUCUGGGGCCAUUAAUCUGAAAUCACUGCUGCAUUAGCACAAUACCAUUCAUAACUGAUAGCUCUGAAUUUUAAAGGUUAAUAUCACAAUACUCUAAAUUAAAAGUACUAUUCCCAAAAUUACUAAGUAAAACAUAGUGUAAAAUUAAAUUGUAACUUUUAAGAAUGCAAUUUUUUUCCUUCUGAAUUUACUUUUACAGGUUCCACAUUAAGUGUAGAUAAUUUGACAGUGAAGAAGCCACCACCUCCUACAUCAUAUGCAGCAUGCAAAAAUAAAUCAAAACAUUUGCUUGCAGAACAAGAAAUGCAAUCUCUUAUCCAACCCACUGAAAAGGAUUUAAACAAAUGUGAAUGGUACGUUGGAGAAUACGAUCGCCAUAAAGCAGAGAAGAUACUGUUACAGAAAAACCUUGAUGAGACAUUCUUGGUUAGAGAUUGUUCAAAGAAAUCAAAGUCUGAACCAUACGUUUUGGUUGUUUAUUAUGGAAGAAGAGUAUACAACAUUAAAGUCCGUUUUCUGGAAGAAAGCCAACAAUACGCGUUGGGAACAGGGCUCAGAGGAGAGUGUGUAAGUAACAUCCCAUCUGCUGUUACAGACUAUAGCUUUUAUGUUGGACUUCACAAGUUCUUAAUAUUAAACAUUCAUUACUAACUCUCCCACAUAAACUUGCUGCUUCAUUAAAGUUUCUUUUACAUUACACUCAUUUU
Sturnus vulgaris (Common starling) is the source of this 989-nucleotide non-coding RNA. NCBI's taxonomy places the organism in Eukaryota, Metazoa, Chordata, Aves, Passeriformes, Sturnidae. The record is from RefSeq and is a predicted model, not a curated record.